RNAcentral lists this small RNA (1333 nucleotides) under Histoplasma capsulatum var. duboisii H88. RNAcentral's name for it is "Histoplasma capsulatum H88 hypothetical RNA". The record is from RNAcentral. Lineage: Eukaryota; Fungi; Ascomycota; Eurotiomycetes; Onygenales; Ajellomycetaceae.
UAUCGCUUCCCUUCUGCAACAAGUACGCUUUCAAGUUGCUGCUGGCCGCACCAGCGACUGCGACUGCUGCGUCGGCGACUCGCUUUGCUUCAUCGAGGAUGUCCCCGAACGUGGAUUCAGUGAUGCCGGUUCGACGGAUGCGAGCCAGUAGGCCUGCAAGGAAUACCUUGCCUGUUAAUGGCAGACAGCGCAGUGACUGUUGGAGAGGUGUGGAGGUGGCUUCUUGGAUGGCUUGUUUGAUGGUUGCGAUGGUAACACGCGGGAGAGGGUUUGACUCCGUUUCUGAGAUCGGUGGAAGCUUGUUAUGUGCGGGUCCUGCUACGCGGUUUCGGCGCGAUGCGCUUUUGCUUGGUGUUGGAGGGAGUGAGGAUGUCUCCAUGUCAUCCAUAUGUAUGCCAUCUCUGUUGGAAAGCGAAAGGGCAGAUUUUAGUUUGGCCUUUUCUGCAAUUUCACUGGCUUGUUCUGCUAUUUCCACUGCUCUCCGGCAAAUGUCAAGGGCGCGUCGUGCGUCUCCGCUAACUGCGGCAACUUUACGGCUUGCGAAUUGAAUGGCAUCUGGGUCGACUAAGUUUCCCGGUCCAUCGUGUUGGCCACGGCUAGCACAAUCAAAUGGGAGUAUCGCAAUGCUGGCCAAUUGAAAAAGUUAUACAUAACCGAUUGAUUUUUAGUAACAAGCUGGUCUAGCUCGUCCAUCAAAACAACGCAUGGUACCCGACGAGGGGACGGGUGAGAGAACUCCCGUUCCAGAAGAUCAAGUGCAUGAGAUGGUGAAACGCGAUCGCCUUUCAGAGCCUCCCAAAGCAAUGAGUACGACUGGUGCGGAUCCGUAACUUUCAUGCCGUUAAUCUCAACAAAUACGAAGUCGUCUAAUUCUUCUGCGAGCACAGAUGCAUUAAGCUGCGCUAUCACUUCUCGAACAGUUGCGGUUUUCCCUGUACCGGGAGGUCCAGAUAUAUAAAUACAUGUUCCAGUGCCGUCAGUGAUAGCGAGACGCAGACAGUCGUAGACAGUGUUAAAUUCGCUGUCUCGACAAGGAAGAGAAGCCGGGACGCUUGACACAUGUAGAAGAUUGCGGGCCUGUCGAUAUGGAGAUGACGUAAAAUGAGAUGGAGAGAGUAUUCGAGUUCCUAAUGGAGUAAAUUCUACUGGUUUCUUGACCACAAUCCUGCCGGGGUUGUUAGCAUAUCAAAUAUGUAUGCAUUUAUUUGAAAUAUAUGGAUGGAUAGCGUACCUCUUAUGAGUUGGGGUAGUGAGAACCUUCCGACGAUGUCGGGAUUGCGGUGUCCCUGCUACUGAUGAGCUUUUGUGCUUUUUUCGUGGAGUAGUCGGCGCA